RNAcentral lists this ribosomal RNA (484 nucleotides) under uncultured bacterium. RNAcentral's name for it is "partial 16S ribosomal RNA". It matches the Rfam family "Bacterial small subunit ribosomal RNA", at positions 30 to 507 of the family's 1533-position model. The record is from RNAcentral.
AUUGAACGCUGGCGGCAGGCCUAACACAUGCAAGUCGAGCGGAUGAAGGGGGCUCGCGCCUCGAUGCAGCUGCCGACGGGCGAGUAAUGCCUAGGAAUCUGACUGGUAGUUGGGGAUAACGUCCGGAAACGGGAGCUAAUAUCGCACACGUUCUGAGGGAGAAAGGGGUGGUUCUUCGGUCCUAACGCUAUUAGCUGAGACUGAGUUGGAUUAGCUAGUUGCUGGGGUAAAGGCCUACCAAGGCGACGAUCCGUAACAGGGCUGAGAGGAUGAUCAGUCACACUGGAACUGAGACACGGUCCAGACUCCUACGGGAGGCAGCAGUGGGGAAUCUUGAGCAAUGGGCGAAAGCCUGAUGGAGCCAUGCCGCGUGUGUGAAGAAGGUCUUCGGAUUGUAAAACACUUUAAGUAGGGAAGAAGGGCAGUGUGAGAAACUCUGGAUAUUUUGACGUUACCAAAAGAAUAAGCGGCGGCUAACUACGUG